AUAGCUUCCAUUGGAUUCUGACAGUUAUCAACAUCACUAAGGACUUAGUUUAUGUGUGGGACCCUCUUAAUCAUCGCAUUCGCGAUGAUGAUUGGAAGCGUGUUGUAGAAAUGCUCCUCGUCAACCGGAUAGUAACCAAUGCGGUUUCUUUGUCAUGGCGUACAUGAAAACUUUAAUUGAGAAUAUGCCAGACUUCGAUGAUAAAAAUUCUGUUCAAGCACUGUUUCAACAAGUUGAUUAUGACAAAG
This is a long non-coding RNA of Ipomoea nil (Japanese morning glory), 248 nucleotides long. RefSeq lists it as uncharacterized. The record is from RefSeq and is a predicted model, not a curated record. Lineage: Eukaryota; Viridiplantae; Streptophyta; Magnoliopsida; Solanales; Convolvulaceae. The transcript has 3 exons.